AAUGAACGCUGGCGGCGCGCCUAAUACAUGCAAGUCGAGCGAGAAGACGUAGCAAUACGUUUGUAAAGCGGCGAACGGGUGAGGAAUACAUGGGUAACCUACCCUCGAGUGGGGAAGUAACUAGCCGAAGGUUAGCUAAUACCGCGUACGCUCCUUGGACUUCGGUUCAGGGAGGAAAGCGAUACCGUGGGUAUCGCGCUCUUGGUUGGGCUCAUGUCCUAUCAGCUUGUUGGNGAGGUAACGGCUCACCAAGGCUUCGACGGGUAGCUGGUCUGAGAGGACGAUCAGCCACACUGGCACUGCGACACGGGCCAGACUCCUACGGGAGGCAGCAGUAAGGAAUAUUGCGCAAUGGGCGAAAGCCUG
RNAcentral lists this ribosomal RNA (366 nucleotides) under uncultured bacterium. Its description in RNAcentral is "bacterial SSU rRNA". It matches the Rfam family "Bacterial small subunit ribosomal RNA", at positions 29 to 385 of the family's 1533-position model. The record is from RNAcentral.